This 71-nucleotide ribosomal RNA is filed under the name Cosmocomoidea ashmeadi. Its description in RNAcentral is "partial 5.8S ribosomal RNA". The record is from RNAcentral. Lineage: Eukaryota; Metazoa; Arthropoda; Insecta; Hymenoptera; Mymaridae.
UGAACAUCGACAUUUCGAACGUACAUUGCGGUCCACGGAUUAUGUUCCCGGACCACGCCUGGCUGAGGGUC